AAGACCCUUCAGACACAUUUUGAACACAUAACACUUGAUCUCCUUCUCCAUUGGAACAAUAACCAAAAACCUAAAACCCUAAACAGCCAUAACCAUCUCCACCUGCUUCGUCUUCUUCUCCUUCACGUCCCAAACGGCCACCAGUCGUCACCCACGACCAGUGACCACCACCCUCGCUGCCAUCUCCACCUGCUUCGUCGUUUUCUCCUUCACGUCCCAAACGGCCACCCAUCUCCUCCGUCGUUAACCACCAGCAUGAACCAGUCACCAUUCCACCUCCAACAACCAGUUGACCACCAGCGACCACCAGCUACUAUGGUAUGCCGCUUCACCUCUCCUCCAAACGACAACCUAGCAGACAAGCAGCCUCCCUCAUCUCAAAUAGAAAUUCUCGAGGUGGUCAGGCUUCGCUCAGCACAGAAACUUACACAGGCUUGAUCUGACUUCUUUCUACGUGUACCAGUGGCUCUUCAUUAGGGGCUCGUUUACAAGGAAACCUUCUGCUAGUGGUUCGUUCGAGUUUUGUGUAUCCAGGUUCCAAUCAUUUGAGGGUACACAUUUUAAACCUGAUUCAAUGUGACAUCAUCAGUUGAUAAUGAAAUAUGAUGGAAAAAUGAGUUUGAUAUAGUUUUCCAAAUCCUUGUAUGGUCUUGUGUUGAUGUAAUUCUGUACUGAUGAGAAUAUGAAAUGUUAAGGUAGUUUUGGUCUUUAAUUAUGAAUAAUAAACAUAAGGCUUGUAUAAUUAGGAUUGAUUUCAGGUAGCCUUAGAUUGUUUUAAUUCUAUGGACUGUAGCUGGAUUGUUGAAUCUAUUUCUACAAACAUGUGAAUAUCAAUUGUAAUUAAUUUUAGUGUGUGAUCAAUAGUUAUAAAAUAUAGUGUAUUUAAUUUG
Molecule: non-coding RNA, 890 nt
Organism: Nicotiana tabacum (common tobacco)
Lineage: Eukaryota; Viridiplantae; Streptophyta; Magnoliopsida; Solanales; Solanaceae
Source: RefSeq, a predicted model, not a curated record